UGACUGAGAUGGUGGGACUUCAGCUU
Molecule: non-coding RNA, 26 nt
Filed under: Homo sapiens (human)
Lineage: Eukaryota; Metazoa; Chordata; Mammalia; Primates; Hominidae
Source: RNAcentral